This 228-nucleotide ribosomal RNA is filed under the name Penicillium raperi. RNAcentral describes it as "partial 28S ribosomal RNA". It matches the Rfam family "Eukaryotic large subunit ribosomal RNA", at positions 1 to 225 of the family's 3401-position model. Lineage: Eukaryota; Fungi; Ascomycota; Eurotiomycetes; Eurotiales; Aspergillaceae. The record is from RNAcentral.
GGUUGACCUCGGAUCAGGUAGGGAUACCCGCUGAACUUAAGCAUAUCAAUAAGCGGAGGAAAAGAAACCAACAGGGAUUGCCUCAGUAACGGCGAGUGAAGCGGCAAGAGCUCAAAUUUGAAAGCUGGCCCCCUCGGGGUCCGCGUUGUAAUUUGCAGAGGAUGCUUCGGGAGCGGCCCCCAUCUAAGUGCCCUGGAACGGGCCGUCAUAGAGGGUGAGAAUCCCGUC